CUUAAAAUGUUUCAGCUGCAUUACAUUGGGUUACGCAGACUUUACUGACUUAAUGUUUCUCCUUUUUCUAAUUCAGGUGUCAUCAGGUAUGGAGCAGAGACCAUGGAUAUGGGGCUUUGUCCAAGGUUCAAUCAUAAAAGCAUGAUGUCUGCAACCCCAGUCUGAAGUCACCAAGGGGUCCCAAAGUCCCUUCUGAUUCUGGACCCCAGAACAGAGUGCUGAUCAUCAGACUAUCAUGAUUUGUUGUAUUAUAAGCACCGCAGUUACAGUUCUCUUUUCACUGUUGAUGACCAUUGAGUCACCUUCCAAAGUAUGCAGAAAAAUAAGCAGUAAUGCUGCGUGUGUGAACGAAGAUGAAAGAAAAAUGUUGCUGGUUUUGUCCCUGGAGAUCACAUUUCUUAUUUGUUGCAAAAAUGCUUCUUUUAGCAUCGAUCAUCUCAGCCUUUAUUGUGUAGACAAUUCUGUACAUUUAAAGGAU
RNAcentral lists this long non-coding RNA (478 nucleotides) under Crocodylus porosus (Australian saltwater crocodile). RNAcentral's name for it is "lncRNA (ENSCPRG00005010432.1)". The record is from RNAcentral. Lineage: Eukaryota; Metazoa; Chordata; Crocodylia; Crocodylidae.